RNAcentral lists this ribosomal RNA (230 nucleotides) under uncultured bacterium. Its description in RNAcentral is "partial 16S ribosomal RNA". It matches the Rfam family "Bacterial small subunit ribosomal RNA", at positions 563 to 791 of the family's 1533-position model. The record is from RNAcentral.
AAGCGCGCGUAGGUGGUUUGUUAAGUUGGAUGCGAAAUCCCCGGGCUCAACCUGGGAACUGCAUCCAAAACUGGCAAGCUAGAGUAUGGUAGAGGGUGUUGGAAUUUCCUGUGUAGCGGUGAAAUGCGUAGAUAUAGGAAGGAACACCAGUGGCGAAGGCGACCACCUGGACUGAUACUGACACUGAGGUGCGAAAGCGUGGGGAGCAAACAGGAUUAGAUUACCCUAGU